CUAGGGGUCAAACACAGCAUAUGUCCGUAGCGUUCAAGAGAUCCGUGGAUACGUGACGCUGCGCGUGAUUGACAUUCACGAGGCCACGCCCACACGCAGUUUGAGCAAAAUUGGUCCAGUAGGAAAUCAUGUAUCUGGCGACAUCACGAUGGCGAGGAAAGUAGCCCAGAGGAGUGCUGAGAGGCUUCCCAAACACAUACUGAAGGUCAUCAGCGUGAUCGGCACCCAUCCAGAGUGGGAAGACAGGCAUGCGAGAGGGCUCAGUGAACAGAUACGACACCUGGAAGUUGACGCUGGCGGCUCCUGCUGACUCCCCAAAGAUGGUGAUGUUGUCUGGAUUGCCACCAAAAUUCCUGAUGUUUCUGUGUACCCAGGAGAUAGCGGCGUGCUGAUCCCACAGGCCAUAGUUUCCUGUCGAACAGGACAUGCUCGGGUCAUCAUUUAAAUAAUACAAUCUAUCAAUCCAUAUAUACAUACAUGAAUACAGCGGGGUCCAAAACUUUGAAUGGAGCUUCUAUCCAGCUUCUGGGUUCUUUCAAAGGUUCUUUCAAAGUGCUUCAGCAUCUCCACUGCUGAGGAAUCCCAGGGAACCGACACGAUAGUUGAAUGUCACCACAAUGACAUUUCCUCUGUCUGCGAUCUCCUGUCCGUCGUACAGGUAGUUGUCCAAGAAGUUUGCACCCUGACCAGCACCAAGCAGGAAGCCACCACCAUAGAUGAACACCAUAACAGGCAGAUUGGUAGACACUGCAAAGGAGAAGUUCUGCCCUGAGGGACCCAGAUGUUCAGGUAGAGACAGUCUUCACUGCCCACAACAUCAGUAGCGAGAAGAUUGAGCUGCAUGCACCUCUUUCUGUAGUCGGUGGCUUUCAGAACACCUGUGCAGGUAAAGUCAGCAGCAGUGCACCGUCAAUACACUCCUUUAUUUUAGACCCCAGCUGUGCCUGAAAACAUUUAAACAGACAGGUGUACUCACCGUCCCAGCCUGGGUGAGGAACGGGCUUCUCUAAUCUGCCAGGUGGAGCGGCGAAGGGGAUUCCCUUGAACACGUCCAUAUAGCGGAAGAGUCCAACACUGUGACUCUUUCCCUGUACCAUCCCUCCCUCGGUGUACACAGCUCCCAACUGCAAAACGUUCACAGUUCAAACAUUGAUGAAGGCAACAGAGAUGAAAACUCCCAGCAUCGCCAUCAUCAUCAUCAGACAGUUGCUGCAAGUGUGGCAUUGAAGUGACUUCUGCUGCUUUUAUAAACAGGCC
Long non-coding RNA from Onychostoma macrolepis, 1257 nucleotides. RefSeq lists it as uncharacterized. The record is from RefSeq and is a predicted model, not a curated record. The transcript is spliced from 6 exons. NCBI's taxonomy places the organism in Eukaryota, Metazoa, Chordata, Actinopteri, Cypriniformes, Cyprinidae.